RNAcentral lists this ribosomal RNA (562 nucleotides) under uncultured Alphaproteobacteria bacterium. RNAcentral describes it as "bacterial SSU rRNA". It matches the Rfam family "Bacterial small subunit ribosomal RNA", at positions 335 to 915 of the family's 1533-position model. Lineage: Bacteria; Pseudomonadati; Pseudomonadota; Alphaproteobacteria. The record is from RNAcentral.
ACUCCUACGGGAGGCAGCAGUGGGGAAUCUUGCGCAAUGGGCGAAAGCCUGACGCAGCCAUGCCGCGUGAAUGAUGAAGGUCUUAGGAUUGUAAAAUUCUUUCAGCAGGGACGAUAAUGACGGUACCUGCAGAAGAAGCCCCGGCUAACUUCGUGCCAGCAGCCGCGGUAAUACGAAGGGGGCUAGCGUUGCUCGGAAUUACUGGGCGUAAAGGGCGCGUAGGCGGUGCGGUAAGUCACUUGUGAAAUCUCUGGGCUCAACUCAGAGUCUGCAAGCGAAACUGCCGUGCUUGAGUGUCGGAGAGGUAAGUGGAAUUCCCGGUGUAGCGGUGAAAUUCGUAGAUAUUCGGAAGAACACCAGUGGCGAAGGCGACACACUGGGCCAUUACUGACGCUGAGGCGCGAAAGCGUGGGGAGCAAACAGGAUUAGAUACCCUGGUAGUCCACGCUGUAAACGAUGAGUGCUAGUUGUCGGCAUGCAUGCAUGUCGGUGACGCAGCUAACGCAUUAAGCACUCCGCCUGGGGAGUACGGUCGCAAGAUUAAAACUCAAAGGAAUUGACG